RNAcentral lists this non-coding RNA (24 nucleotides) under Rattus norvegicus (Norway rat). Lineage: Eukaryota; Metazoa; Chordata; Mammalia; Rodentia; Muridae. The record is from RNAcentral.
UCAUAGAUUGAGAGCCAUGGUUUG